CGGAUUAUCAUAUUUUUUUCAUCUUUACUUUCCAAUUUGUACCAAAAUGGGUGAUGUCCAUUAGGCUUUUUCAAAAAUGUAUAUCUCAUCAUCUGAAUGUACUAGAAACAUUAGUAUUUUACUCUAGCGUUUCUUUUGCAUCAAUCUGUACGAAUGUGGAAUAAAAAGACGAUGUCACUUUUUUGGGUUUAUAAAACACUGUGUGUCGUGAACUCGUGAAUUUCUUAAAGUGUGACUAACUUAUGGAUGGCUACAUAUCGAAACCAGAUAAAUUUAAUAUUUAAUAAACAAUGAAUUCGUAGCCCCCACUUACAACUUGUGAACCCCCUUUUUCGUUUCAUGCCAACUUAGACCCCCAAUGAAUCCCUUGUGGACUCCUGGGGUCCACCUGAACCACUUUGGGAAUCACUGUUUACAAUGUAAACUCUAGGUCCGCACCGAUAUACUCAAAUAACUAGAUUUGUAUAGCAUACUGCAGUUGCGCAGGACGUAUGAAACGAACGACCCUUUCCUCUGCGGCCACUGCAGCGACCGGACGUGUCCCGAGUGCUGCCUGUUUCCUCAUCCUUGGUGCUGAACAACCCCAUCAAAAGAGAGGCUCAACACUCUAGGCGAUGAAUUUAAGAGGGAAGGAGGCUCCGACGAGGCCGGAACGCGUUUGUCCACCUGAACGCGCAUACAAAAAUAUAAAUACUCAAACUGGAAAUCUACUGAAGGACCCGUGGAGCAACUUAUGCUACAUUCGCCAUGUUGUCAUAACAGAGGAAACAACUAUUUCCAUUAUUUACCCCUUACCCAACUUCCUACAAGAUGCCUUUCCCCACGAUUAUGGCUACGAACAAACGGACUUGAUGAUUUCACAGGGGAAUCCCUACUAUUACUUCGAUCUGCUUUUGAUUAAGACAUUUGGCGUCGCUUUCUGGGAUCCCAUAUGACAUUAAAUAUCCGUUUAAAUAUAUUUAGCCCAACCAUCGUCUUUUGCGGAAGACCAUGAACGGUUAAAUAUAUUUAAACGGAUCAUGCUUGAUCAACCCUGGGUAGUUUUGUCUUAGCCAUUUGUUUUGUACAUUGUACGCCGUAUAUUAUAUUAAUUUUGAUUAUCUAAAGAUUAAUACAGUUUUCUCACUUAAAUAUUUUUACAAUAUUUUAGUAUUAUUUUAAUGUAACCUAAUUUCUAUUAGGUAUAAUUUGGAAAUAUUUAAGUAUACGGAUUAAUUUUUAUCCUUACUUUGAGUUUUAAAUUUGGAAGUAAUUUCUUUAGGUUUAUUUGUAGGUCAAAAUAUUGCAUGCUUUGGCGUAUAUUGCCUGCCUGAGAAGAAAAAUGUUCAGAUGGGCAAUGAACCUGCAGUAUUAUGAUUCCUAUGUCGCAUGGUAUUAGGACGCGGUAAUAACCCUAGGACAGCAUCGGAGGCAAGUUUAUAAUGUACGACCUAACCUAUCGGUAUGGAAGUAUGUGACGACGCCUAAGUUGUUAGUACUGGGUGAAAAACUGUGGAAAAUGCCUGCGGUCGGUCACUUGGUUCUAAUGGGGGUCUAUCUGUCUAUGUCCGACUUACUUACAUAACCAUCUAACAAGUAUAACUAACUCCGACUUAAAGUCUGUAAAUUAUCGCUACUAGAACAUCUGACCUUGUAAUUUCACGGUUUUAGGUCCUUGGUAUAGCGCGUAGACACUAAACCUACAGAAGUGCCUGUGGCCGGGGAAUCAAUCGAGUUACUCUGAUAUCACUUACUUUUGUGGUGCAGCAAGAAAUAUUAAGUUACGAACGUAUUCAGUUUUCAUACAUAAUUUCACAAUUAAUAAAUUGUAUUAUAGUUUCAUUUGGCUGUACCACAA
Molecule: long non-coding RNA, 1837 nt
Organism: Spodoptera frugiperda (fall armyworm)
Lineage: Eukaryota; Metazoa; Arthropoda; Insecta; Lepidoptera; Noctuidae
Exons: 2
Source: RefSeq, a predicted model, not a curated record